UACACGACCGUACCGCAAACCGACACUGGUGCGCGAGAUGAGUAUUCUAAGGCGCUUGAGAGAACUCAGGAGAAGGAACUCGGCAAAUUGACACCGUAACUUCGGAAGAAGGUGUGCCUUUAGUAGGUGAAGGGAUUUACUCCUGGAGCCCAAUGAGGUUGCAAAAAAUCGGUGGCUGCGACUGUUUAUUAAAAACACAGCGCUCUGCAAACACGAAAGUGGACGUAUAGGGUGUGACGCCUGCCCGGUGCUGGAAGAUUAAAUGAUGGGGUGCAAGCUCUUGAUUGAAGUCCCAGUAAACGGCGGCCGUAACAAUAACGGUCCUAAGGUAGCGAAAUUCCUUGUCGGGUAAGUUCCGACCUGCACGAAUGGCGUAACGAUGGCCACACUGUCUCCUCCUGAGACUCAGCGAAGUUGAAAUGUUUGUGAUGAUGCAAUCUCCCCGCGGAAAGACGGAAAGACCCCAUGAACCUUUACUGUAGCUUUGUAUUGGACUUUGAACAGAUCUGUGUAGGAUAGGUGGGAGGCUUUGAAGCAGGGUCGCUAGAUCUUGUGGAGCCAACGUUGAAAUACCACCCUGGUGUGUUUGAGGUUCUAACCUAGGCCCGUAAUCCGGGUUGGGGACAGUGCAUGGUAGGCAGUUUGACUGGGGCGGUCUCCUCCCAAAGUGUAACGGAGGAGUUCGAAGGUACGCUAGUUACGGUCGGACAUCGUGACGAUAGUGCAAUGGCAUAAGCGUGCUUAACUGCGAGACUGACAAGUCGAGCAGAUGCGAAAGCAGGACAUAGUGAUCCGGUGGUUCUGUAUGGAAGGGCCAUCGCUCAACGGAUAAAAGGUACUCUGGGGAUAACAGGCUGAUACCGCCCAAGAGUUCAUAUCGACGGCGGUGUUUGGCACCUCGAUGUCGGCUCAUCUCAUCCUGGGGCUGUAGCCGGUCCCAAGGGUAUGGCUGUUCGCCAUUUAAAGAGGUACGUGAGCUGGGUUUAAAACGUCGUGAGACAGUUUGGUCCCUAUCUUCCGUGGGCGCUGCAGAUUUGAGGAAGCCUGCUCCUAGUACGAGAGGACCGGAGUGGACGCACCUCUGGUGUAUCGGUUGUCACGCCAGUGGCAUUGCCGAGUAGCUAUGUGCGGAAGAGAUAACCGCUGAAAGCAUCUAAGCGGGAAACUCGUUUCAAGAUGAGAUCUGCCGGGGCCUUGAGCCCCCUGAAGAGUCGUUCAAGACCAGGACGUUGAUAGGUCGGGUGUGGAAGCGCAGUAAUGCGUUAAGCUAACCGAUACUAAUUGCUCGUGCGGCUUGACCCC
RNAcentral lists this ribosomal RNA (1302 nucleotides) under metagenome. RNAcentral describes it as "bacterial LSU rRNA". It matches the Rfam family "Bacterial large subunit ribosomal RNA", at positions 1635 to 2925 of the family's 2925-position model. The record is from RNAcentral.